Molecule: microRNA precursor, 72 nt
Filed under: Myotis lucifugus (little brown bat)
Lineage: Eukaryota; Metazoa; Chordata; Mammalia; Chiroptera; Vespertilionidae
Description: mir-9193 microRNA precursor family
Rfam family: mir-9193 microRNA precursor family
Source: Rfam by way of RNAcentral
CUUGGGGGGGGGUGUCCCUCAGCCUGAUUGCGAGAGGGUGCAGGCCAGGCCGAGGGAACCCACUGGUGCACC